RNAcentral lists this ribosomal RNA (430 nucleotides) under uncultured bacterium. RNAcentral's name for it is "bacterial SSU rRNA". It matches the Rfam family "Bacterial small subunit ribosomal RNA", at positions 957 to 1391 of the family's 1533-position model. The record is from RNAcentral.
GAACGCGAAGAACCUUACCCACCUUUGACAUGUAUGGAAUCCUUUAGAGAUGAAGGAGUGCUCGAAAGAGAGCCAUAACACAGGUGCUGCAUGGCUGUCGUCAGCUCGUGUCGUGAGAUGUUGGGUUAAGUCCCGCAACGAGCGCAACCCUUGCCAUUAGUUGCUACGAAAGGGCACUCUAAUGGGACUGCCGGUGACAAACCGGAGGAAGGUGGGGAUGACGUCAAGUCCUCAUGGCCCUUAUAGGUGGGGCUAGAAACGUCAUACAAUGGCCGGUACAAAGGGUAGCCAAGCCGCGAGGUGGAGCCAAUCCCAUAAAGCCGGUCGUAGUCCGGAUCGCAGUCUGCAACUCGACUGCGUGAAGUCGGAAUCGCUAGUAAUCGUGGAUCAGCAUGCCACGGUGAAUACGUUCCCGGGUCUUGUACACACC